GGCAGUUCUCGGGUGAUACACCCGGAAUCGUGCUCCCUCCUCUCUGGUCCCGGGUGCGUCACCCUAGAACUGCA
This is a non-coding RNA of Myotis davidii, 74 nucleotides long. The record is from Rfam. Lineage: Eukaryota; Metazoa; Chordata; Mammalia; Chiroptera; Vespertilionidae.